Molecule: ribosomal RNA, 484 nt
Filed under: uncultured bacterium
Lineage: Bacteria
Description: partial 16S ribosomal RNA
Rfam family: Bacterial small subunit ribosomal RNA
Source: RNAcentral
AUUGAACGCUGGCGGAAUGCUUUACACAUGCCAGUCGAACGGCAGCACGGGGGCAGCCCUGGUGGCGAGUGGCGAACGGGUGAGUAAUACAUCGGAACGUGCCCGGUCGUGGGGGAUAACGUAGCGAAAGUUACGCUAAUACCGCAUACGAUCUGAGGAUGAAAGCGGGGGACCUUCGGGCCUCGCGCGAUCGGAGCGGCCGAUGUCAGAUUAGGUAGUUGGUGGGGUAAAGGCCUACCAAGCCGACGAUCUGUAGCUGGUCUGAGAGGACGACCAGCCACACUGGGACUGAGACACGGCCCAGACUCCUACGGGAGGCAGCAGUGGGGAAUUUUGGACAAUGGGCGCAAGCCUGAUCCAGCCAUUCCGCGUGCAGGACGAAGGCCUUCGGGUUGUAAACUGCUUUUGUACGGAACGAAAAGGCUCUGGCUAAUACCUGGGGCUCAUGACGGUACCGUAAGGAUAAGCACCGGCUAACUACGUG